RNAcentral lists this ribosomal RNA (500 nucleotides) under uncultured bacterium. RNAcentral's name for it is "partial 16S ribosomal RNA". It matches the Rfam family "Bacterial small subunit ribosomal RNA", at positions 30 to 523 of the family's 1533-position model. The record is from RNAcentral.
AUUGAACGCUGGCGGCAUGCUUUACACAUGCAAGUCGAACGGUAACAGGGUGCUUGCACCGCUGACGAGUGGCGAACGGGUGAGUAAUGCGUCGGAACGCACCGAGUAAUGGGGGAUAACGCAGCGAAAGCUGUGCUAAUACCGCAUACGCUCUGAGGAGGAAAGCGGGGGACCUUCGGGCCUCGCGUUAUUCGAGCGGCCGACGUCUGAUUAGCUAGUAGGUGAGGUAAGAGCUCACCUAGGCGACGAUCAGUAGCGGGUCUGGGAGGAUGAUCCGCCACACUGGGACUGAGACACGGCCCAGACUCCGACGGGAGGCAGCAGUGGGGAAUUUUGGACAAUGGGCGCAAGCCUGGUCCAGCCAUGCCGCGUGUCUGAAGAAGGCCUUCGGGUUGUAAAGGACUUUUGUCAGGGAGGAAAUCCUUAGCGCUAAUACCGUUGAGGGAUGACAGUACCUGAAGAAUAAGCACCGGCUAACUACGUGCCAGCCGCCGCGGUAA